RNAcentral lists this long non-coding RNA (740 nucleotides) under Bos indicus x Bos taurus (hybrid cattle). RNAcentral's name for it is "lncRNA (ENSBIXG00005018357.1)". The record is from RNAcentral. Lineage: Eukaryota; Metazoa; Chordata; Mammalia; Artiodactyla; Bovidae.
GUUUCCUGGGCUGGUGAUGUGAACAGGGUGGAGGAAAGCAUGGCCACUGCCACGGGGUGAGUGCCCAGUUGGUCCCAUUAAGCAAAGAGCAAUCCUCCCAGCAUCAUCACCUUGGAGUGCUCAGACGGGGUGUAGGAACGAAGGAGGUGCUCCACACUUCAGUGUAACUGGCCGGGGUGUGAACAGGUACAGUCAAUUCACACUACAGAACCGCUUCCAGAAGACUUUGGAUUUCGUAAGAGGUACCACCAGUGGGGACCUUUGGGAAACUUGUAAUUUCCCAGGAAGCCCGCUUCUGUGGUGACCAACUGAGAGUUUACCAGACGAAUGGUGGUUUUCGUGCCCAUGUCUUGUUGGAAUUUGACUGUGGGUGCCCCAUUAAACCUCUGGACUGCAUCAUGAUCAUCUAUUUCUCGACCUAGCCGGGAGGACUUCAGAGAUCCUGCUGGAGAGACACACCUGCCCCACUGCCUUGGUCCUAAUGUCCUCCUGAGGCAGGUAACCCUCCCAAUCAGAGGUGUUGAAGGGAAAAUCUGUGGUCUCUAUCAUUGAAAUGUUCACGUGGUCCCAGAGGUAGCAAAGCAGGGCCUCUGCACUGUACUUAACCCUGGCCCCUGGCCCCUUGUAUAUCACUUUGUACUUGUUCAUGUUCAGAUAAUUCUUCUGGAUAGUUUGCAGCCUGGGGAUAAGGUUUUUGGAGGAGCAAGGUGACUCAGUUAUACUGAAUUAUUUUCCAUUGU